Molecule: transfer RNA, 72 nt
Filed under: Apaloderma vittatum (bar-tailed trogon)
Lineage: Eukaryota; Metazoa; Chordata; Aves; Trogoniformes; Trogonidae
Rfam family: tRNA
About the family: Transfer RNA (tRNA) molecules are approximately 80 nucleotides in length. Their secondary structure includes four short double-helical elements and three loops (D, anti-codon, and T loops).
Source: Rfam by way of RNAcentral
GGCUGGUUAGCUCAGUCAGUUGAGCGUAGCGCUAACAGCGCUAAGGUCAUGGGUUCGAUUCCCUCUCGGUCC